Molecule: long non-coding RNA, 726 nt
Organism: Macrobrachium nipponense
Lineage: Eukaryota; Metazoa; Arthropoda; Malacostraca; Decapoda; Palaemonidae
Exons: 3
Source: RefSeq, a predicted model, not a curated record
AAACCGUUGUGUAGGCAAACGUCGAUGGUGGUUCGUCGGAUGAUAAUUUCUUGCGUGUUUCUUCGUGUUAUGCGUAUACUUAGUUGUGGUAAGAUUGUAAUUUUGAAAUAACUAGUUAUCUUGGUGGUCUGUAUACGCAUGGAGGUUGGAGCUUGCUUGGUGCUGCGUCUUCAGUGAGCUGUUGGUGAUAGUCAUCCGAGGUGUUGAAGCUCUCGCUGGAAAGUCUUCAGCGUCCUGGCGUAUUAAGAUAAUUACUUCUACGCAUCUCUACGCAUCUCAAAUGGGUAGUAAAGAAGAUAGGAGCAAAUGGUUAAUCAUUUGGUUGGGGAACUAGGAAGUGACUCCUCCAGCAUUUGGCGGUUUUUACUGUGCUUUUGUACCUUGGCUCUCCGGUGCUUCAGAUAUCCCGAAAACUAGCACUACAGCUUUCCCGAAGAAAGAUGCCUCGGAAGAACUGUCGAUUUGAAAGAACCAGAUUGUAACCUAAAUUUUAAACUUAUUAAUUUCCUGCAAUUGAAGGUGUUCUAGGAUGUCCUUUACAAAAGCAGAUUUACCGCUAUAGUAGAUUACGGUUCCUCGAAGUGACUGAACAUUAAAUUUGGUUAUCCCAUAGGAUUCCCGUAUUUAACCUUUUUUAAACUUCAAAGGUAACUUAUUCAGAUUUUCAAUUUAAUUUGGUUUUUAAGUUAUUGUGGUCUUAAAAUAAAAUAAAUUUUAUAUUUAAUA